This 612-nucleotide ribosomal RNA is filed under the name Plectosphaerella cucumerina. RNAcentral's name for it is "partial large subunit ribosomal RNA". It matches the Rfam family "Eukaryotic large subunit ribosomal RNA", at positions 38 to 667 of the family's 3401-position model. The record is from RNAcentral. Lineage: Eukaryota; Fungi; Ascomycota; Sordariomycetes; Glomerellales; Plectosphaerellaceae.
GCAUAUCAAUAAGCGGAGGAAAAGAAACCAACAGGGAUUGCCUCAGUAACGGCGAGUGAAGCGGCAACAGCUCAAAUUUGAAAUCUGGCUCCUUCGGGGUCCGAGUUGUAAUUUGCAGAGGAUGCGUCGGGUACGGGUCCCUACCGAGUUCCCUGGAACGGGACGCCAUAGAGGGUGAGAGCCCCGUCUGGUAGGAUACCCAGCCCAUGUGACGCUCCCUCGACGAGUCGAGUAGUUUGGGAAUGCUGCUCUAACGGGAGGUAUACUCCUUCCAAAGCUAAAUACCGGCUGGAGACCGAUAGCGCACAAGUAGAGUGAUCGAAAGAUGAAAAGCACUUUGAAAAGAGAGUCAAACAGCACGUGAAAUUGUUAAAAGGGAAGCACUCGCUACCAGACUUGGGUUUGGCGGUUCAACCGGGGCCACGCCCCGGGGCAUUCCGCCAGCUCAGGCCAGCAUCAGCUUUCCGUCGGGGGCAAAGACGUCGGGAAUGUGGCUCCCCCUCGGGGGAGUGUUAUAGCCCGGCGUGUCAUACCCUUCGGGGGGCUGAGGUACGCGCUUCUGCAAGGAUGCUGGCGUAAUGGUAGCUAGUGACCCGUCUUGAAACACGGACC